This 887-nucleotide ribosomal RNA is filed under the name uncultured bacterium. RNAcentral's name for it is "bacterial SSU rRNA". It matches the Rfam family "Bacterial small subunit ribosomal RNA", at positions 54 to 931 of the family's 1533-position model. The record is from RNAcentral.
CAUGCAAGUCGAGGGGAAACGACAUCGAAAGCUUGCUUUUGAUGGGCGUCGACCGGCGCACGGGUGAGUAACGCGUAUCCAACCUGCCCAUCACUUGGGGAUAACCUUGCGAAAGUAAGACUAAUACCCAAUGACGUCUCUAGAAGACAUCUGAAAGAGAUUAAAGAUUUAUCGGUGAUGGAUGGGGAUGCGUCUGAUUAGCUUGUUGGCGGGGUAACGGCCCACCAAGGCGACGAUCAGUAGGGGUUCUGAGAGGAAGGUCCCCCACAUUGGAACUGAGACACGGUCCAAACUCCUACGGGAGGCAGCAGUGAGGAAUAUUGGUCAAUGGACGAGAGUCUGAACCAGCCAAGUAGCGUGCAGGAUGACGGCCCUAUGGGUUGUAAACUGCUUUUAUAAGGGAAUAAAGUUAGUCUCGUGAGACUUUUUGCAUGUACCUUAUGAAUAAGGACCGGCUAAUUCCGUGCCAGCAGCCGCGGUAAUACGGAAGGUCCGGGCGCUAUCCGGAUUUAUUGGGUUCAAAGGGAGCGUAGGCCGGAGAUUAAGCGUGUUGUGAAAUGUAGACGCUCAACGUCUGCACUGCAGCGCGAACUGGUUUCCUUGAGUACGCACAAAGUGGGCGGAAUUCGUGGUGUAGCGGUGAAAUGCUUAGAUAUCACGAAGAACUCCGAUUGCGAAGGCAGCUCACUGGAGCGCAACUGACGCUGAAGCUCGAAAGUGCGGGUAUCGAACAGGAUUAGAUACCCUGGUAGUCCGCACGGUAAACGAUGGAUGCCCGCUGUUGGUCUGAAUAGGUCAGCGGCCAAGCGAAAGCAUUAAGCAUCCCACCUGGGGAGUACGCCGGCAACGGUGAAACUCAAAGGAAUUGACGGGGGCCCGCACAAGCG